AGAGUUUGAUCCUGGCUCAGGAUGAACGCUGGCGGCGUGCCUAAUACAUGCAAGUCGAGCGAACAGAUAAGGAGCUUGCUCCUUUGACGUUAGCGGCGGACGGGUGAGUAACACGUGGGUAACCUACCUAUAAGACUGGAAUAACUCCGGGAAACCGGGGCUAAUGCCGGAUAAUAUUUAGAACCGCAUGGUUCUAAAGUGAAAGAUGGUUUUACUAUCACUUAUAGAUGGACCCGCGCCGUAUUAGCUAGUUGGUGGGGUAAUGGCUUACCAAGGCAACGAUACGUAGCCGACCUGAGAGGGUGAUCGGCCACACUGGAGCUGAGACACGGUCCAGACUCCUACGGGAGGCAGCAGUAGGGAAUCUUCCGCAAUGGGCGAAAGCCUGACGGAGCAACGCCGCGUGAGUGAUGAAGGUCUUCGGAUCGUAAAACUCUGUUAUUAGGGAAGAACAAAUGUGUAAGUAACUGUGCACGUCUUGACGGUACCUAAUCAGAAAGCCACGGCUAACUACGUG
This 517-nucleotide ribosomal RNA is filed under the name uncultured Staphylococcus sp. Its description in RNAcentral is "bacterial SSU rRNA". It matches the Rfam family "Bacterial small subunit ribosomal RNA", at positions 8 to 507 of the family's 1533-position model. The record is from RNAcentral. Lineage: Bacteria; Bacillati; Bacillota; Bacilli; Caryophanales; Staphylococcaceae.